UAGUCCACGCCGUAAACUAUGAUAACUCGGUGCUGGCGAUAUAAUGUCAGUGCCCAAGCGAAAGUGAUAAGUUAUCCACCUGGGGAGUACGAUCGCAAGGUUGAAACUCAAAGGAAUUGACGGGGGCCCGCACAAGCGGUGGAGCAUGUGGUUUAAUUCGAAGCAACGCGCAGAACCUUACCCAGCCUUGACAUCCUGGUAAGUUGGUGGAAACACCUUCGUGCCAUCUCACGAUGGAAACCAGUGACAGGUGCUGCAUGGCUGUCGUCAGCUCGUGCUGUGAAGUGUUCGGUUAAGUCCGGCAACGAGCGCAACCCCUAUCGUUAGUUACCAGCAUUUAGUUGGGGACUCUAGCGAGACUGCCGGUGAUAAACCGGAGGAAGGUGGGGGACGACGUCAAGUCCUCAUGGCCCUUAUGGCUGGGGGCUACACACGUGCUACAAUGGCGCCUACAGAGGGGCAGCGAAGCGGGCGACGUGGGAGCAAAUCCCUUAAAAGGGCGU
RNAcentral lists this ribosomal RNA (503 nucleotides) under uncultured bacterium. RNAcentral describes it as "bacterial SSU rRNA". It matches the Rfam family "Bacterial small subunit ribosomal RNA", at positions 791 to 1286 of the family's 1533-position model. The record is from RNAcentral.